GGGGGAGGGAAGAGGUGGUGUUGCUUUAUUUUCUUUGAACGGGUUCCAUUGUUCUUGUUUUGUCUGUGGGGAAGACGAAUCUCAAGAGUUGUAUACUGCAUUACGUACUUUGAUAAGGCCCUGUCAUGGAUCCAUCAUAUAAAUAUUAUUGCAAAGAAAGCACAACAUCGCCUUUGCUUCCUCAGGAGUCUGCAGAGUUUGGCAUGUCAUCGAAACCUUGGCAAACAUCUAUAGAUGUGUGGUGGAAAGUGUGCUGACUGGCUGCUUUAUGACCUGUUAUGGGAACACUAAUGUCUCUGAGUGGAAAAUCUUACAAAAGCAUGGAAUGGGCAGAUGGAGCUUAGGAGAAGAUAACCUCUGAUCUCAAACUGCUGCCAUACAGCUAUACCCACUCAUGGGGAAGGCUUCAGGAGUAAACCCCGAGGAAAAAUCUGGAGCUGGAGCCCUAUGGUAACCUCAUCGCUGACUGGCAACUCCUGUGAUGCCACUGGUGCCAAACUGUAUUGGUCUUUGCCGUUCAUUUGGGUUCGUCAUCUGCAUGGAGAAGGGGAGCUUGCUACAUUGGCAACAGCUUGCUCUCCAUAUCUUACUGGACUGAUGUGCAUAUCUAGACAAAUAGGCCCUUCUGCUCAGUAAUUCUCUGACUUAAUAACCAAUGUACAAUAUCCAAUUGUCCUACCAACCAGUACAUUUUGGACUACAGGAGGUAACCAGAACACCCUGAGGAAAUCCACACGGUCACUGGGAAAACUCCUUACAAACAGUGGUGGGAAUUGAACCCGGGUCCCCUGUACUGUACUGUGCUAACCACUACACUACACUACACUAUCGUGGUGCUCUGCAUCAGAGCAGAGUAUUCCAUUCAAUACAUACAAAAUAUGUAUAAAUAGCU
Hypanus sabinus (Atlantic stingray) is the source of this 892-nucleotide long non-coding RNA. RefSeq lists it as uncharacterized. The record is from RefSeq and is a predicted model, not a curated record. NCBI's taxonomy places the organism in Eukaryota, Metazoa, Chordata, Chondrichthyes, Myliobatiformes, Dasyatidae. The transcript has 3 exons.